GGACAUUCAUGAAAUCAUAUAAAGAAUGAGAGAUUUGCAAAUAAAAUUUACAAAAUGUAGAGAGAAGAGUCAAUCAUCAAAAAUAAAAAUAAGACAAAAAUUAGGACCAUUAGAAGUUGUAGUAUAUAGGUGCAUGUGGUGUGAUAGCAUGAAUCAUUCAAGAAGGGAAUAUGAAAAUUUUACAAAGGCAUUAUUCAAAAGAGUUGU
RNAcentral lists this long non-coding RNA (207 nucleotides) under Physcomitrium patens. RNAcentral's name for it is "long non-coding RNA (PPAT_LNC010333)". The record is from RNAcentral. Lineage: Eukaryota; Viridiplantae; Streptophyta; Bryopsida; Funariales; Funariaceae.